GAGUUUGAUCGUGGCUCAGAUUGAACGCUGGCGGCAGGCCUAACACAUGCAAGUCGAGCGGUAGAGAGAAGCUUGCUUCUCUUGAGAGCGGCGGACGGGUGAGUAAUGCCUAGGAAUCUGCCUGGUAGUGGGGGAUAACGCUCGGAAACGGACGCUAAUACCGCAUACGUCCUACGGGAGAAAGCAGGGGACCUUCGGGCCUUGCGCUAUCAGAUGAGCCUAGGUCGGAUUAGCUAGUUGGUGAGGUAAUGGCUCACCAAGGCGACGAUCCGUAACUGGUCUGAGAGGAUGAUCAGUCACACUGGAACUGAGACACGGUCCAGACUCCUACGGGAGGCAGCAGUGGGGAAUAUUGGACAAUGGGCGAAAGCCUGAUCCAGCCAUGCCGCGUGUGUGAAGAAGGUCUUCGGAUUGUAAAGCACUUUAAGUUGGGAGGAAGGGCAGUAAAUUAAUACUUUGCUGUUUUGACGUUUACCGACAGAAUAAGCACCGGCUAACUCUGUGCCAGCACG
RNAcentral lists this ribosomal RNA (512 nucleotides) under uncultured bacterium. RNAcentral's name for it is "bacterial SSU rRNA". It matches the Rfam family "Bacterial small subunit ribosomal RNA", at positions 9 to 515 of the family's 1533-position model. The record is from RNAcentral.